This 22-nucleotide microRNA is filed under the name Prunus persica (peach). Its description in RNAcentral is "microRNA miRNA_395". The record is from RNAcentral. Lineage: Eukaryota; Viridiplantae; Streptophyta; Magnoliopsida; Rosales; Rosaceae.
UAGAUCAUGUGGUAGCUUCAUC